UAUAAGUUUUAUAGGUCGAGACCCACAAAAUGACAUUCUAAGACUUUGUAUAUGGAUAAGACGUAGACUAUAACAUUGAAAGACCAGCUAGAACGCAAGUCCAUUCAAUCCAACGAAAUCGUUGAGAGUUAUCAUAGUCUACAAAAGUGCACAGGUGGUUAAGAAGAAUUUUGAAGAGCGUGCACAUACUCCUAAGAGUCAGCGACAACUCCCCAGUAAUUCAGUAAUGAUCCUUCCGCAGGUUCACCUACGGAAA
Molecule: unclassified non-coding RNA, 256 nt
Filed under: uncultured fungus
Lineage: Eukaryota; Fungi
Description: sequence contains ITS1
Source: RNAcentral